UACGAAGGGGGCUAGCGUUGCUCGGAAUCACUGGGCGUAAAGAGCUCGUAGGCGGUCUGUUGCGUCGGCUGUGAAAACCCGGGGCUCAACCCCGGGCCUGCAGCCGAUACGGGCAGACUAGAGUUCGGCAGGGGAGACUGGAAUUCCUGGUGUAGCGGUGAAAUGCGCAGAUAUCAGGAGGAACACCGGUGGCGAAGGCGGGUCUCUGGGCCGAUACUGACGCUGAGGAGCGAAAGCGUGGGGAGCGAACAGG
Molecule: ribosomal RNA, 253 nt
Filed under: uncultured bacterium
Lineage: Bacteria
Description: partial 16S ribosomal RNA
Rfam family: Bacterial small subunit ribosomal RNA
Source: RNAcentral